RNAcentral lists this ribosomal RNA (572 nucleotides) under uncultured organism. Its description in RNAcentral is "bacterial SSU rRNA". It matches the Rfam family "Bacterial small subunit ribosomal RNA", at positions 749 to 1325 of the family's 1533-position model. The record is from RNAcentral.
AAGCACGAAAGCGUGGGGAGCGAACAGGAUUAGAUACCGUGGUAGUCCACGCCGUAAACUUUGCUCACUCGCUGUUGGCGAUAGACAGUCAGCGGCCAAGGAAAACCGAUAAGUGAGCCACCUGGGGAGUACGNCCGCAAGGUUGAAACUCAAAGGAAUUGACGGGGGCCCGCACAAGCGGUGGAACAUGUGGUUUAAUUCGAUGAUACGCGAGGAACCUUACCUGGGCUUAAAUGUGAAGUGCAUUGAGUGGAAACAAUCAUUUCGUUCGGGACCCUUUACAAGGUGCUGCAUGGUUGUCGUCAGCUCGUGCCGUGAGGUGUCGGGUUAAGUCCCAUAACGAGCGCAACCCCUAUUGUUAGUANCCAGCGCGUGAUGGCGGGGACUCUAGCGAAGCUGCCGGUGUAAACCGCGAGGAAGGUGGGGAUGACGUCAAAUCAGCACGGCCCUUAUGUCCAGGGCUACACACGUGUUACAAUGGCCGGUACAGCGGGCAGCUAGGCAGCGAUGUCAUGCUAAUCCCGAAAGCCGGUCCCAGUUCGGAUUGGAGUCUGCAACCCGACUCCAUGAAG